Neopsephotus bourkii (Bourke's parrot) is the source of this 293-nucleotide long non-coding RNA. RefSeq lists it as uncharacterized. NCBI's taxonomy places the organism in Eukaryota, Metazoa, Chordata, Aves, Psittaciformes, Psittacidae. The record is from RefSeq and is a predicted model, not a curated record. The transcript has 2 exons.
UCCCUUUGCUCCUUUAGUAACUGCCUUCCAAUUCAAUACAUUAGUUACUACUGUGGAUUAGCCACAUCAGCUGUGGGGACAUGGCAUACUACUGCGAACAUGUUACUGCGUUAUUUCACAAACUGUCUCGCAGGCAAGCUCUUUUAGGGGUGCUCCCUCAACAUGGCAGGUGCCGGCCAGAGAUUAUUCCGUCACUUUUCAACAGGAGCCCAGGUCCUUUGAAAUAAGGAAAGAUAAACAACAUAAAAUGCACCAAAGAUGAAGUCCAGGAACCCUGGCGAAAACAGAAUUUU